Molecule: non-coding RNA, 2875 nt
Organism: Sus scrofa (pig)
Lineage: Eukaryota; Metazoa; Chordata; Mammalia; Artiodactyla; Suidae
Source: RefSeq, a predicted model, not a curated record
UUUCUCCUAGAAACAGGGGGAGAGAGUUAUCUGUGAAUAAAGGGCAAAGACGCCAAGGCAGAGAGUUAUCUACCGCUCAGAGCCAAAGAUGCCGUCACCUGAGGGAACCCACGGAGACACGCCUAGUGGCAGGGGACCGUUACAGUCACACUGGGGUGUCACGCUCCCUGAGCUACGCCUGCUCUGCAAACGAGGUAUGUCCAGGGACUACAGGAUCCCUACCUACCUGCUUCCCCCGCCCCCAGCUAAAUCCAGCCCCCGCCCCCCCCAUAUAAACGAGCAGGCUCAAGGGGGCCACCUGCAGGCCGUGGCACCCAUCUGCCAGCAAGGGCCUAUAUCCAAACUAGGAUGAACUCCAAAGCUUGGUGUCUCUUGCGGCUUAGACACCUCUUCACGUCCCCACCAUAACACCCCCCCUCCGUUCCCUCCAUUCCCGCCCCACCCCCCCACGGUGUGCAUUUGUGUGUAUGUGUGUAUAAAAGAGAAAAGACAGAGCUCCCUCCCCAGGUGCCUCGUAUCAAUAUGAAACUCUCAAAAUGCUGACUGCUGAGCCCACGGAGCUGAAGGCAGCGCUAGCAGGAGGCUUACAGGUGUGAACCCACCACCACCACCACCACCACCACCACCACCACCAACUCCUCCACCACCACCUCCUCCACCUCCACCACCAGAGGCUGCGGGCGCCCAGAGAGCUUUCGGGCUUGUCUGUUAAGAACCACACCAAAUCAAGAGAGGUCAGAAUCAGGAUUUGGGGCCUUCCCCUCCCCCACCCCAUAGGGAGAAGGCUAGAAGGAGAGACGGUGAGGGUGGGAUGGAGGGGCGUCCUGCCCUGGUCCAUAUGCCAGGGCCAGUGAAUGGAGGGUGCAGCGUGUCACAAGGAGGUGACGACAAAGAAGACGUGCCAGGGAAUCGCAGCAUGGACCUUGCAGAAGGGGAGUCGUCGGGAUUCGUGUUUAAACCAGAAAGACUAAUUUUGCCCUGUACCAAAGUCAGAAUCUCCCCUCUCCAUUUCCUGUUUAUGUAAGAAAGAGGAAUGAGAAUUUCAGAGCCUCUCUUGCUUAUCAUCCAAGUCGGGGAAAUCAAUUCAAGAAAUUGAGCGUGUGACCGAAAACCUCCUCCUAUGAUCCAUUCCAGUCUGAUGGGAUAAUGUUUGGUGGGAAAGGUGGUCCUGGGGAUCACCUGCACUCAUGCUGUAAAAAUAAUGCAGACACAGGGAAUGUGCUGAUCUAAGGAGAACUAUAGUCAGAACCGUGGCUGGUAACACUCCGUCUAAAAACAAGUGUGUAAGCACCGGCUGGCUUCCCGUCACGGGAAAGCAACUAAGAUGCUGCCUGGCUGAAGGCAACCACUGUCAGAUGUCACUGGCCUCUGAAAGGAAGGGGAUGGAAUGAGUGCCUCCCUGAGUAUGUGCCCCUGAGCUGUCUGAGGAUGCCCCUCGGUGCGUGGGGUGUGUGCUCGGCAAGAUGGCAGGAGGGAGGAGGUGGGGGCGGGGAGCACAUGCUUGGUCUUUCCUGCCUCCCGGAGGCCGAGCCCCCUUGGGCCGGUGGCCUCAGGGUCCACCUGUCCCCGCUCCGGGUCGGAAGGACCUCGAGGAAAGCGAGGGCUGCCCCCUCCACCUUCAAUUUGACAAGGUUCCUUUUCUCCCCUGGGAUAGACUGAAAUAAACUGUGGGUUCUGCUCCCAUCCCAGAAAACCAAGAGAAAUAGAUAAGCCUCUCAAGAGUUUUAAACCACCUUAGCCUGCAGAUCAAAACAUGCUCAAAAAACUAAGAAGUCCAUGCAUUUUAAAAAUGGGAGAAGAAACGGGUGGUGGUGGGGUGGGGUGGUGGUGGGGUGGGGGAGCAUAAGCAAAACUGAGAAAGCAAAAGGGACAAAUGAGAGAGAGGAAUGAGGAAAGGGACAAAGAGAGGAAGAGGGGACAGGGACAAGGGGACAGGAAUAAAGGAACAUCCAGCAGCAUUCCAUGCUAUAUUAGGGCAGAGGGAAAAGAUGGGAAAAGCAACUUGGUGGGCUCAAAACAGAAUCUUGUUAAAAUGUCCUCAAAUGUCAAAUAAAAUUAGAAACCCUGUGCAUGGAGCCAGGAGCCCUGAUUGGCUAGGAGCUUUUCGGGUGCUCCCCUCCCCCCUCCUGCCCUCAUCGCCGUGGAAGUUUCCAGGUCAGGGGGAUGAGUGGGGGCAUCUGAACACAGGACACAAAAACUGUGAAUGACAGGGUGACUGCUCCUUCUAAGAGGUGGCAGAGCAGGCGGCAGCUGGAACACACAUAUUUCCGAUGGGCCAGAGAAUGCCUCGUUUUGAAACUUUUUUUUUUAAAGCACAUUUUGUCUUGUUGAUUUAGCAUCAAGCCAGAUCCUGGCACAGUCAAGAGGAAAAAACUGAUGGAAAAAGGGACAAAACCCAUUCUCUGACUCUCCCCCACCUAGGCUCCUUCUCCCAUCAGGGGGUGGCCCCUGAAAAAUCCAUUUUUAGCUUCUUACAGAUUCAUUCUGAAAGGAACUUAAGAGUGUUUCCUGGUCCUGUUUGGGACUUACACUUACUUAAAGGAGCAGAAAAGCAUCUGCUGAAGCUUUCAGGGUAUGAAACAAUAUUCCCAACGGAGGAAAAAUGGUCACCGGGGAAGUUCUAAGGGCGCUGAGGCGGGAAAGAGGAAGGAAGGACCGCCCGCAUGCACCGUGGCGCUACUGCCGCGCCAGCCCCUCCAAGCUGCACUCUAGAAAGCCACGUUUAUGAGGCAGCCAUGAAGGUUUGCAGUUGUUUUUGUUGCGUAAAAACGUCAUGAGAAUUCUAGUUUCUGCAGAAAAAGCCACCCUCCAGUUUUCAGCAAGGUGCGCCUGGGUCUGAGAAGGGACUAGUCUGGUCAAUGUUAGUCAUGGCAAC